Long non-coding RNA from Equus caballus (horse), 3082 nucleotides. The record is from Ensembl. Lineage: Eukaryota; Metazoa; Chordata; Mammalia; Perissodactyla; Equidae.
AAGGGUCUGGGUCUUAUGAAUUCCCAGCACUGAAAAGAGUUAACAUAACUUUCCUCCCAUGUUCAUAUUUGGCACCCCGUGCAACGCUUGGACUGACAGUUUUUUAAAAGAAGAAAGAAAGAAAGAGAGAGAGUGAAGGAGAGAGGGAGGGACAAAGAAAGAGAGAGAGAGAAGGAAGGAGGGGAAAGAAGAAAGAAGCGAGCUUCAAUUAGUAACUAAAGCUGAGCUCAUUAAGCACCAGCUCUGUUUGAGACCCAGCCAGUGAUGCCUGCAUGCAAAAUGGACGGAAUACCCACAAGAUAAUGCUAGAGACUUCUGCAGCUGGAAUAGCUUGUGUGCUCAACAGCUCCAGCUUUGUAAGCGCCUGAGGCCUCCAUCAGCUGCUUGGGAUGAGCUUCUAGAUGGCCACGAGAUUUCUCAUCCAUUCAACAGAGAUUUAAUGAGUCCGCACCUUGUGUGCUGGGCUUCAGGGAUACGGGUGAAUGAAGAUGCCAGCCCUUUCCCUCAAGUAGCUCACUGCCUAGUGGUGGGAUGUCAGCACAUGGAAAAGCCCUUCCUAGAGGUUCUCUGCCAUGCUGAGCACAGUCAGACGAGGACACAGAGUCCUAGCGUGAAUGUGAACCAGCAGAGAUGGCAGGCGCCGGGAUUCUCACUGAGUCUGGGUCGCCUCCUGUUGCCACCGUGCUUCCUCCUCAAGGACAGCAUAACGCAUUCAAAAUUAAGACGGUCUCAGUCACCUGUAAGUCAUUUUAAGGUCGGAGGCUGAAUCAUCGGCUCGUGAAUGGGAAGUGGGGCACCCCGUUUCUCUCUGACACCCCACUGGGUUCAGGAGACUGGCACAGCGAGAAAGUCACUACCCACAGCACAGGAGCCAUUGGAAUCCUGAUGGAAAGCUGUUAUCCUUGAACUGCUCAUUAAUAAUUCUUCAACACUCCCAUCAGCUUCUAAACUAACAUCUGGAGAACUUCCUUUAUAAAAGGCAAACUUCACAAAAAGAGUUCAGCCUCGUCUACAAACAGCCCCCGCUGUCUGGACCUGGCUGACUUGUCUGUAUGGCUUCGGCUUGUCCUGGAUGCGGCUCACCCUCUGCUGGGAAUUAUUCGGGGAGGUGACACUGUCAAACAGGGGACCACUUGGGAGCUGGAGGAGAGGGCCACAGUCUUCCUCGGGAGGAGCAGUGACUGAAUUACCCGGAGGGCUCCUUCUUUCGAGGACUGGAAGAGGGCGGGUGAGGCGGGUGACAAUGGCUACGUGUCUUCACGGCAGGGGGGCCCGCUGGCAGAGCACCACUAGAGAGGACAGCUUGCAAACCUUUCCCAGAUGGGUCCUCAGAACUGCAAACUUGAGGGUGGCGCACCCUCACCACCUGGGAACAGCAUGUGUCCAGGACUGCCAAGACUCAGAAAGACGAUAUGGGUGAGCGCACGGGAACCGGGAAGAAAUCGACCUGGCAGAGCAAGGCUGGUUAAGGAAAUCGAGUCCACAGUGAAGUUCAUCUCAAUAAACAAUCCCCCACUGGGAGGCUGAACCCGCUUCCCAAACAGAGCUGCUGUUUCCUACUGUUGCGUAAUUACAGAGGUCACCCAGCUGUUGGGAGAGACCACACAUUGUGUUUCCGGUUGUGUAAAUACAAACGAGCCGGCAGCAGCCAGCAGAGCUCCUGAGGGCAAGAAUGGGAGGCUGAGGGAGAGGUGUGCUCCAGGAGAGGACCGGCCGGAGCCCACCCGUCAGUGUGAAACAAGCGAGGCGGUUUCGGUUUCUGUCCUGUCUCUCUCCCCUCACUUGCAGCUUUGGAAAAUUUGGAUCUGUUGUGAAAGGGUAACACUUUUUCCAUGUCUGAUACUGGCAGCGUCAGAUGGGGAGCAGCAGGAUCCUCAACCUUCUUCCAGAAGGUUCAGGAAGCCCACGGGGCUGCACACAUACCAAGCCAUCCUCUGAAACCCUUCUUCCUGGUGGUAUUUCCCCUGGAUGUGUUUGAGCUCUCUCUGAGGCGGCCCUGGAAGCUCUGCCGAUAAUUAGAAGCUGGUGAAGCAGCCUCGGGCCUCGUCCUGGGCUCCUGCCAAGUCCACAGAGGGUUGAGAAACUGAAGGGGGAACCUCCCCUUUCUCACUCUUGGGCAAGAGGAGUGUCCGAUGUGAACAACUGUGGACGCUGAAAGCUGUUUGACCUUGGCAGAGUCACUGAACUCUUGGAGGAGACGCAUAGGACACGCCGUGGCUUGGUUCCCCAGGUCCCCUGCCAUCAGCACAGCCCUUGGAAGAAGACUUCCGUCUCUGCAUCUACAAUGUGGGGUCACAAUGAAAGGCUCUUCUUGGGGUGGUUGUGAGCGUUAGAGGAGCUGAUGCAUGCCAGUACCUGUCCAAGAUGCUAAUAAUAAUUAGCAAUAAUUCCUCUGGGAUUCAGUCUUGUCAGCAUGUAGGGUGGGUCAGAGUUCAGUGAGAGAGACCUCCUAUCAAGCCUGGUAGAUAAAGAACAUAUAAAUAAUGGUACUUUCUGAUUAUUUCUCACCACUGAGUGGUUUGCUUCUAUUGAAAAAAGAGUUGUGAAGUGCCCCUUGUAGGGUCUGGCAUGUGGAAAGUGCUUAAUAAAUAUUCAUUCACCCCUGCCUUUAAUAGAAAGGAGGCUAAGUAACUUAUUUUAGUUUAUAGAGAAAAUUCGUUGAAAAACAUCCAAUGAAGCAAUUCCAAAUUUCUGAAUGUUACAAGUUUUAGCAACAUUAUAAAUUGAGCUUUUUUUUCUCUUUCACUUACUGAUUUUCUGACUAUAGUCAAUUUACCAUUUUCAAAUAAGGGGCAUGAAAAACUCUAUGAGCAUGUAAAUUUGUGACUUCUGGUUUUUCUGCAGACUUGAGCAAUGGAGCAAAAUACUCAACUUGACCUGGUGAAUGCUAACCUCCUGCAGAUAUGCUGUUUGGAUUGAAUAAAUUCUUGCAUGAUAACAGCACAGACUGACAAAUUAGUAAAUAGAAUGUAAUGUAAAUGAGGAGCCUAAUGAUUUAGGGUUGACAUUCUUACACUGGUCGUUUGAACAUGCUUGGGUCCUUAGACCUGCUCACCUCUCAGGUGGCUGUUUCUUGACCAAU